This 253-nucleotide ribosomal RNA is filed under the name uncultured bacterium. RNAcentral's name for it is "partial 16S ribosomal RNA". It matches the Rfam family "Bacterial small subunit ribosomal RNA", at positions 524 to 776 of the family's 1533-position model. The record is from RNAcentral.
UACGUAGGGUGCAAGCGUUGUCCGGAAUUAUUGGGCGUAAAGAGUUCGUAGGCGGUUUGUCGCGUCGAAUGUGAAAACCCGGGGCUCAACCCCGGGCCUGCAUUCGAUACGGGCAGACUAGAGUUCGGUAGGGGAGUCUGGAAUUCCUGGUGUAGCGGUGAAAUGCGCAGAUAUCAGGAGGAACACCGGUGGCGAAGGCGGUUCUCUGGGCCGUACCUGACGCUGAGGAGCGAAAGCGUGGGGAGCAAACAGG